CCCAUCCUGCAGUCAUCAAUCAAGACGAAAAAACAUCAUUGCAAUCGAGCGCGUAAGCAAUGGAGUACUCGUGAUUUGCAUCGA
RNAcentral lists this long non-coding RNA (84 nucleotides) under Polistes fuscatus (common paper wasp). Its description in RNAcentral is "uncharacterized LOC122514867". The record is from RNAcentral. Lineage: Eukaryota; Metazoa; Arthropoda; Insecta; Hymenoptera; Vespidae.